Sphaeramia orbicularis (orbiculate cardinalfish) is the source of this 566-nucleotide long non-coding RNA. RefSeq lists it as uncharacterized. The record is from RefSeq and is a predicted model, not a curated record. The transcript has 2 exons. Lineage: Eukaryota; Metazoa; Chordata; Actinopteri; Kurtiformes; Apogonidae.
AUAGAAAGCCUGCAUUUUUCAACCACCUUUGGCAAUUUGCCUCCAGUAGUUUAACAACUCCUGUGUGGAUACCUUUACGGCUCGGCACUGGAUGACUAUGAAGAAAUGGUGAGCGAAGAUGAUUACGAAAUCUGAAUACUGCCGCAGGAGUUACAGAGUGUGGACAUCAACCUGCAGUCAUUCUGGUCAAACUGAUGUUCUGCAGAGGAGGAGUGCAACACUUCCUGUUGCGACGUACCCUGUAUCCUGUUUUCCACAGUCAGUGGUCAUGCGUGUCAUUCCCCUCUGCGAAGCUGUGUGGGCACAAUCUCGUGACCCUGCUGUGAAUUUGAGAGACGAGACAAAUGGAGAAUCCACAUGUCUGGAAAAAAAACCCCAAAAAAUUCUUGAUUGUCAGCAAAAAAUAUGUUAACACAAUUCCUCAGAUGUGUUCAAGACUAUUUAGAAAUAAACUGUUGAUUGGACAGAUUAUAGUAAAUAGGAGUUUUUUUUCACUGCCUAAUCACUAUGUUAAGUUCGUGGUCAAUAAAUAUAACCGUACAUUUAAUAACCAGUAGACUGUGGAC